RNAcentral lists this transfer RNA (73 nucleotides) under Rattus norvegicus (Norway rat). It matches the Rfam family "tRNA". From Rfam's summary of the family: Transfer RNA (tRNA) molecules are approximately 80 nucleotides in length. Their secondary structure includes four short double-helical elements and three loops (D, anti-codon, and T loops). The record is from Rfam by way of RNAcentral. Lineage: Eukaryota; Metazoa; Chordata; Mammalia; Rodentia; Muridae.
AUGGGUGUAGCUUAGUUGGUAAAGUGCUUGCCUAGCAUGCACAAAGUCCUGGGUUCGAUUCCCAGGACGUAUA